Molecule: ribosomal RNA, 465 nt
Filed under: uncultured bacterium
Lineage: Bacteria
Description: bacterial SSU rRNA
Rfam family: Bacterial small subunit ribosomal RNA
Source: RNAcentral
CUGGCGGCGUGCCUAACACAUGCAAGUCGAGCGAGGAGAUCCUUCGGGAUGAUCCUAGCGGCGGACGGGUGAGUAACACGUGGGCAACCUGCCUCAUAGAGAGGAAUAGCCUUCCGAAAGGGAGAUUAAUACCUCAUAACAUUGCAGUUUCGCAUGGAACAGCAAUUAAAGGAGCAAUCCACUAUGAGAUGGGCCCGCGGCGCAUUAGCUAGUUGGUGAGGUAACGGCUCACCAAGGCGACGAUGCGUAGCCGACCUGAGAGGGUGAUCGGCCACAUUGGGACUGAGACACGGCCCAGACUCCUACGGGAGGCAGCAGUGGGGAAUAUUGCACAAUGGGGGAAACCCUGAUGCAAGCAACGCCGCGUGAGUGAUGACGGCCUUCGGGUUGUAAAGCUCUGUCUUCAGGGACGAUAAUGACGGUACCUGAGGAGGAAGCCACGGCUAACUACGUGCCAGCCGCUGC